RNAcentral lists this ribosomal RNA (800 nucleotides) under Halomonas sp. K180. RNAcentral describes it as "bacterial SSU rRNA". It matches the Rfam family "Bacterial small subunit ribosomal RNA", at positions 92 to 894 of the family's 1533-position model. Lineage: Bacteria; Pseudomonadati; Pseudomonadota; Gammaproteobacteria; Oceanospirillales; Halomonadaceae. The record is from RNAcentral.
CGAGCGGCGGACGGGUGAGUAAUGCAUAGGAAUCUGCCCGAUAGUGGGGGAUAACCUGGGGAAACCCAGGCUAAUACCGCAUACGUCCUACGGGAGAAAGGGGGCUUCGGCUCCCGCUAUUGGAUGAGCCUAUGUCGGAUUAGCUAGUUGGUAAGGUAAUGGCUUACCAAGGCAACGAUCCGUAGCUGGUCUGAGAGGAUGAUCAGCCACAUCGGGACUGAGACACGGCCCGAACUCCUACGGGAGGCAGCAGUGGGGAAUAUUGGACAAUGGGGGCAACCCUGAUCCAGCCAUGCCGCGUGUGUGAAGAAGGCCCUCGGGUUGUAAAGCACUUUCAGCGAGGAAGAACGCCUAUCGGUUAAUACCCGGUAGGAAAGACAUCACUCGCAGAAGAAGCACCGGCUAACUCCGUGCCAGCAGCCGCGGUAAUACGGAGGGUGCAAGCGUUAAUCGGAAUUACUGGGCGUAAAGCGCGCGUAGGUGGCUUGAUAAGCCGGUUGUGAAAGCCCCGGGCUCAACCUGGGAACGGCAUCCGGAACUGUCAGGCUAGAGUGCAGGAGAGGAAGGUAGAAUUCCCGGUGUAGCGGUGAAAUGCGUAGAGAUCGGGAGGAAUACCAGUGGCGAAGGCGGCCUUCUGGACUGACACUGACACUGAGGUGCGAAAGCGUGGGUAGCAAACAGGAUUAGAUACCCUGGUAGUCCACGCCGUAAACGAUGUCGACCAGCCGUUGGGUGCCUAGAGCACUUUGUGGCGAAGUUAACGCGAUAAGUCGACCGCCUGGGGAGUACGGCCGCAAGGU